RNAcentral lists this long non-coding RNA (4845 nucleotides) under Vigna radiata. RNAcentral describes it as "long non-coding RNA (VRAD_LNC007760)". Lineage: Eukaryota; Viridiplantae; Streptophyta; Magnoliopsida; Fabales; Fabaceae. The record is from RNAcentral.
AAUUGUUCUACUCCUCUCUCAUAUUCUUCGCUUGUUCGUUUAGAAUUUAUCCAACUGCGAUCCAUAUUAACGUUUUGUGGCAAUGAACUGAAACCAACAAAAAGGUCACACUUUAAUAUUUAUUCAACAACGUCAACCUUUGUAGUACAAAGCAACAACACUAUAAAGAUUAUUGUUUAUGCAAAUCUUUAAGGCUUCCUACAAAACAAGUAGGUGAAGCCACUUAAACACAAAUAAGCCACUUCUGCAUUUACGUGAAGUUGCCAAUAUUUUCACUGUUUUUCUUGCUGAAAUGUUGCUGAAACAGUGAUAAUUCAGCUUGCUGGACAGUGCUCUUAUGCUACCAUUCAGCUCCCUCUCCACUUCCUAAAAUGCUACCUUGGUAGAGAUGGUUACUAGGCUUUGAAAAAGUGGCUGGAAACACAACACUAAAUGAAUUAUCUAAAACACUUUUCAGUCCACUAUCUGAGUCUAGAAAUUAGUCAACAGACUAGUAACCUUACUACACAACACUAAAUGAAUUAUCUAAAUGAUUUACUACUAAAUGAAUUAUCUCAUAUGGACUUCAGUUAGUAGAUCUAUUUACCAAAGGUCUUUCUAUUAAAUGAUUUCAUGACCUCACAUACAAACUAGGAACGAUACAUAUUUAUUCACUAUCUUGAGGGGAGUUUUAUUAGUAGGAUAUUAAGUGUACUACUAGAAGCUAUUAGAAGAUUUUAAAGAUCUCUCAACAAUUAUACCCACUCACCUAUACCGAGCAAAUUCUGAUAGUGCAGCUGCUGCAGCUUCCCUCUGAUAUUUUUGGGGUUGAUGCAAUGAGUUUUUCAAAAAAAAGACAAAUAUUUUGUACCUAUAUAUCCAACAAGGAAAGAAUGUUGGUCAAUCAAGUUAACACUUUCAGAGGGCUACAAUGUUUUACUAAAUAGCUCUCAAGGAAAGAAAAUGAUCCCCAACAAUAUAACUUUACUAUCGUAUUAUUUGUAGAAAAUUAGAGCAGAAGGUCAAAUGCAAGACAUUCUUAAAAGCAGGAAAAAAAAUACAGUCACUUCUGCUGGUUAGUCAGGUUCUUUCAUUGAUGUAAUCUAUUCCAUAGUCCAAAUAUCAGUCAAAUCAGUAUUCGUAAAGGAAAAAGAGUAGGAAGGUGACUGUGUGGAGCUAGAAUAAGUAACCUAUAAAUUAUUAUCUAAUUUAUUCUUAACUCUCUUAGAAUAAUUUUAUUAAUAAUGACUGCAUAGCACAACCCAUAUGUUAACAAAAUUUAUGAUAAUUUAUUGUGUUAAGUCGUGCCUAUAAAAAAAAGGAUUCUGAAUUGCUCUUAACUGUUUCUUCUACAACUUUUCUCACACUAUACAUAAAUUAUGAACUUCUGAAUUCUCUUGAUUUCAUUUACAAAUUUCAUCUACAAAAUCUCAUCAUUCCCUUCUACCCUAUAGGUUAACACUAUAAAAAAAGGUAAAUUAGUUACUCAGAAGAAGUGUCUUGAAAGUGACAUGCAAAUAAAAAUAUUGUUUUACAGAACAAUGUUAUAUCACAUUAAUUUAUAUGCACUGCAUAAAAAAUAAAUUAAAUUAUAUGCAAUCCCCAAUUAAAUGGUGACAAUUCACACCAACUACCAAUAAAAAGAGAAGAUGAAUAAAUUGUUGAAUCAUUAAAUAAAAUAUGAAGCUUCAACACUCACUUCNAAUAUUUAUCCAUAAAAGAAUUAGUGAUAGACAAAAAGUCAAUUCCAUAAUUUCUACACUUUAAAACUAAAAUUAGUUUCUAACUAUUAGUUAAAAACAUUAAAAUUAAAAUAUUACUAGAACAAUAUGAUGACUAUCAUGUUAAAUUUAGAGAAGAUUGAGCCAGAAAACUGUCUCCUCUUCCGGGAGAACUUUCAUAUAUAUACAACUAAUUACAAUCUCUUAAGCUGAUUUUCAGCCCACUAAAUAAGCUAAAUUGUCAUAUAUAUACAUUUACUACAGCUAAUUAUUCUAAUUAAGAGAAUAACAGUUACAAAUAAAUAUAUAAUUGCAUAUCUUUGGCAUUCAUUCUGUUGACAUAUCAUGCAUUGAAGACUCAAAUUCUUGUAAUAUCAUUUUUUAAGUAUGAAACANAGUAUAUUAGAAAUAGCAUACACAUCUUAUGCACAUUCAUGAUCUCCAAUGGAAUUUAUCAUUGUUUCCAACAAUACCAUGAUAGAAAAAUGUAAUCACUAGAGCUACCUAGACAUUUUCAAGAUUAGUAGCACAAACAGAACAUUUGUUCAAGAACAUGUUUUCCGUUGAAAGACCAUUUGAAAUAGAUAACAAGAGUGUAUACUGAUCAGAUGCAAAGUGCAGAAACAAUUACAUAAUAGAUAACAAGAGUGUAUUGACAAAUACCCGACGAAUUGCCUUUGCCUUCUCUAAAAUUACUGUAACUUUGACGUUGGCAGUGGGACCAGUUGCAUCAUUUGACUUUCCUGUUACUGUGGGCCUCAGGUUGAAGGCCUGAACCAACAAUGCAAAGGUUAACAACAAUAAACAUUGUUACUUUUACAGAUAAAUUUGCAAGAUCAUGUUCUGCAUUGAUAUCAUGUAGACUCCAGAGUCAACUUUUGUCAUUUUGAGGACUUUUACAUAUAAAUAAUAUUAAAUUAUUGAGAAUUGUCGAAUACAAAUAAAAUAACAGUCAAUUGAUAUAAUUAUCAUAACUUUCAAUAAAAACCAAGGCUUAAAACAUAUAAAAGCUUGCGUUGUUAAGAGAAUAAUCAAAUGGUUCAUAUUCGUAUCUCCAACAUGCAUAACCACUAAUAAUCCAAUAAAGAGAGAAUUGAAGUCCAAACAGUUUAUCAAAGAGAUUUCGAUUUAAGAUACAAUGUCAACAACUUAAUCAUCAUAAACUGAAAAGCCUUGACCUAUCAAACAAUUUCCAGAAAUGGGUUCACUUGAAAAGGUGACCCAAGGUUUGAUUUACAUCUCUAACACCAACAACUAAAAUUUCAUCAAUAUAUACUGAGGCUACUCCAAAUAUCCUAUUAGCAUUUUCCUUUUGGUCAUAUAAUCAUUAACUCAUCGGGUAUUCUGGAUAUGUAAGGUAAUGCUUAUACUAGUUAAGCAUAUUUGAAAUCACAUUACCUGUUUUGGUCGCUUUAUAGAUAUGCAGCCUGCAAUGUCUCCAAUGAGACUAAUCCACCUUUCUGUAGCUCAUAAGAUCACAUUUUUUUAUCAUUCAUGAUAACCAUUUUGAAUGAUUUAAUUUAACCUCUACAUAACAAAAAGAACUAUACAUUAUCAUGUUUUCCGGGUUGGAAUUUGUGUGGUCCGACAAAGUGGAUAAAGGGAUAUGAUGAUCAAAGGGAGCUUGUAGAGUGAUUAUAAAAAUUCAUUUUUUGUGUUGUGGUUGUGUUUUAGCCACUAUAAUGGAUAAUGAAUGAAUGAAAACUAAAGUGUUUUAAAAAAUAAUUUGUAUGCGUGAAUCUACUCUUACGGUUGAGAAAUGCAGUAGAUCAACGAAGUGUGGCAGUAGCUUAGAAGCAGGACUUCUGUGAUUAGAUAGCAUCAUUGUUUAUAUAUCAUUUUGCGUACCAUUAUACCAAGCCAAAAUUCUUAAAAUCGGUUCUGCAUGUUAUAUGAUUCAAAACAAUGGACAUUGACCAACAUCAAUUCUAACCUUUUAGAGGAUGAGCCACCACUCUACCUUGACGUUCACCACAAACUCUUCUAGUAAGAAAUACAAUUUAAGCAAACACUAGCUUGUAUGAUUGACGACAAUUUUUUCCUACUCAAUAUCUUCAAAAUAAUGUGAAUGUUAGAUGCGUAUAAAACUUGAGCCAUCCCUAUAAUUAAAUAUUCCUAUAACUACAUAUGAAAACCAAAUACUCAAACAGUGACUGGAAAGUGUUUUCUGCACCAGAAAAAGUGGACUGAAAUGGUGGUUUUAAACCCAAAAACGAGUGGAAGUGAUUCAUUAGCUCAUGUGAGUGACCAAACUUUGCUUGAUGAUUUUAAGUGUGUUCAAACUCUUAAACAACUCAAAAUUUGUUUAAAACUCAAAAUCACUGGUUCACUACCCUUUUUAACUCAAAAAGUGGGGGUUUAAUAGGUAAAUCUGCGUAUAGGCUAAAAUUUGACCAAAUGAAUAGUGCUAGCAACUUUCAAACAUCAAUUUAGACUUGCUCAAGGUUUCCAAAAGCACAGAAACAGCAGAAUUCAAAAAUCACCCUUGCUAUAGCCAAUUUAUGCAGCAAAAUACACCAAUAAACCACCCAAAAUCAGUUUUCCAAGGAUUCAAGAGCUGGACAGCAAAGAAAAUGUGCGUACCUGAGAGAGACGACCUGGAAGAAACCCCACUCUUGUGAAACCCUAGCAAUGAGCGACUUGCACUCUUCCCUCACAGUCUCUCCACUGUCCUCGGCUGAGAUCGAAGACCGGAAGCUCACUAUCUUCGGCGGCCACCAGGAGACGGCGUGAUGCUCCGACUAGUGUGAGCGGACUAGGCUUGGAGACGCUUAGGGCUUGGAGACUGUGCUCUGGGAUAUGAGAAAAAAAUUGGAAGAAACGGUGAAGAGAAAGAAAAGUUGUGGGGCGAAACGGUGAAGGAGAAAGAAAAGCUGGGCGGGACGAAUCGGAAGAAAUGAAAUGCUCUGCCUCGCGAGAUCUCUGAAAGGGUAUUGGUCCUAUAUUUAUAGGUUUUUAAAUAUCUAUCAUAAUAUAUGGUUUCCGCAUAAUUACGAUAUUGCCACCGUAUCCAGUUUAUCAUGAUAGAUGGUCUUUUAUAGGUUAUAAUGUAUUUAAUUUUUUUUCGAAAAUGUCACCAUUAUUCUUAUUAUAAUUGCUUUCUUAAAUUACGUUAUGAUAUAUAUUAGUUUUAUUACAAAAUAAU